Molecule: long non-coding RNA, 626 nt
Organism: Melanotaenia boesemani (Boeseman's rainbowfish)
Lineage: Eukaryota; Metazoa; Chordata; Actinopteri; Atheriniformes; Melanotaeniidae
Exons: 3
Source: RefSeq, a predicted model, not a curated record
CUGGACCAGAACUUGACCUGGGUAUAAUACUGGAGAGGUCGGUACGAGACAGCUCGGUAUUGGACAGGUCGGUACGAGACGGCUCGGUAUUGGACAGGUUGGUACGAAACAGCUUGGUACGGGACAGGGGAUUACGGGACAGGUUGGUAUGAGAUGGCUUGGUACGGGACAGAUUGGUAUGGCACAGGUCGGUACUGGACAGGUCUGUAUGGGACAGGUGCGUAUGGGACAGGUUGGUACGGGAAAGGUCUGUACGAGACAGCUUGGUACGGGACAGGUGAGUAUGGGACAGGUCGGAAUGGGACAGGUGAGUAUGGGACAGGUGAGAACAGGACAGGUGAGUGCGGGAAAGGUCGGUACGGGACAGGUGAGUACAGGACAGGUGAGUAUGGGACAGGUCGGUAAGGAACAAGUCGGUACAAGACACCUCAGUAUGGGACAGGUGCGUAUAGGACAGGUUGCUAUGGGAAACGUGAGUACAGGACAGGUGAGUAUGGGACAGGUCGGUAAGGGACAGGUGAGUACAGGACAGGUGAGUACAGGACAGGUUGCUAUGGGAAACGUUGGUACGGGACAGGUGAGUACAGGACAGGUGAGUAUGGGACAGGUCGGUAAGGGACAGGUGA